This 406-nucleotide ribosomal RNA is filed under the name uncultured bacterium. RNAcentral describes it as "partial 16S ribosomal RNA". It matches the Rfam family "Bacterial small subunit ribosomal RNA", at positions 29 to 526 of the family's 1533-position model. The record is from RNAcentral.
AUUGAACGCUGGCGGCAGGCCUAACACAUGCAAGUCGAGCGAGAGGCGGACGGGUGAGUAAUGUCUGGGAGACUGCGUGAUGGGGGGGGGGAACUACUGGAAACGGUAGCGAAAACCGCAUACCAUCAGAUGUGCCCAGAUGGGAUUAGAUAGUAGGUGGGGUAACGGCUCACCUAGGCGACGAUCCCUAGCUGGUCUGAGAGGAUGACCAGCCACACUGGAACUGGGACACGGCCCAGACUCCUACGGGAGGCAGCAUUGGGGAAUAUUGCACAAUGGGCGCAAGCCUGAUGCAGCCAUGCCGCGUGUAUGAAGAAGGCCGUCGGGUUGUAAAGUACUUUCAGCGGGGAGGCGUUACCCGCAGAAGAAGCACCGGCUAACUCCGUGCCAGCAGCCGCGGUAAUAC